CCUACGGGUGGCUGCAGUGAGGAAUAUUGGUCAAUGGGCGCGAGCCUGAACCAGCCAAGUAGCGUGAAGGAUGACUGCCCUACGGGUUGUAAACUUCUUUUAUAAAGGAAUAAAGUGAGGCACGUGUGCCUUUUUGUAUGUACUUUAUGAAUAAGGAUCGGCUAACUCCGUGCCAGCAGCCGCGGUAAUACGGAGGAUCCGAGCGUUAUCCGGAUUUAUUGGGUUUAAAGGGAGCGUAGAUGGGUUGUUAAGUCAGUGGUGAAAGUUUGCGGCUCAACCGUAAAAUUGCAAUUGAUACUGGCAGCCUUGAGGACAGUUGAGGUAGGCGGAAUUCGUGGUGUAGCGGUGAAAUGCUUAGAUAUCACGAAGAACUCCGAUUGCGAAGGCAGCUUACUAGACUGCCACUGACGUUGAGGCACGAAAGUGUGGGUAUCAAACAGGAUUAGAUACCCGAGUAGUC
This 460-nucleotide ribosomal RNA is filed under the name uncultured bacterium. Its description in RNAcentral is "partial 16S ribosomal RNA". It matches the Rfam family "Bacterial small subunit ribosomal RNA", at positions 338 to 795 of the family's 1533-position model. The record is from RNAcentral.